This 101-nucleotide ribosomal RNA is filed under the name Cephalotus follicularis. Lineage: Eukaryota; Viridiplantae; Streptophyta; Magnoliopsida; Oxalidales; Cephalotaceae. The record is from RNAcentral.
GGGUGCGAUCAUACCAGCACUAAUGCACGGGAUCCCAUCAGAACUCUGAAGUUGAGCGUGCUUGGCGAGAUUGGUACUAAAAACGAGCAUUGUUGCAGGAC